This 126-nucleotide small RNA is filed under the name Brevundimonas sp. Leaf363. RNAcentral's name for it is "Caulobacter sRNA CrfA". It matches the Rfam family "Caulobacter sRNA CrfA". Lineage: Bacteria; Pseudomonadati; Pseudomonadota; Alphaproteobacteria; Caulobacterales; Caulobacteraceae. The record is from Rfam by way of RNAcentral.
ACUCGAGGCGGUGACGCGAAAGCAUCCCCUCUCGAAGGCGUUUCGGGGAGGAAACGUCCGCUCCGUCAGAGAGCGAAAGAAAGCCCGCUGCGAUGUAUCCCCCGCAGCGGGCUUUUUCGUGCGCGC